UACAGAGGCCUCAAGCGUUGUUCGGAAUUAUUGGGCGUAAAGCGGAUGUAGGUGGCUGCGCAAGUCAGAUGUGAAAGCCCUGGGCUUAACCCGGGAAGUGCGUCUGAUACUGCGUGGCUGGAGUGCGGUAGAGGGAAGUGGAAUUCCUGGUGUAGGGGUGAAAUCCGUAGAUAUCAGGAGGAAUACCAAUGGCGAAGGCAACUUCCUGGCCCGUAACUGACACUCAGAUCCGAAAGCGUGGGGAUCAAACAGG
Molecule: unclassified non-coding RNA, 253 nt
Filed under: uncultured Pseudobdellovibrionaceae bacterium
Lineage: Bacteria; Pseudomonadati; Bdellovibrionota; Bdellovibrionia; Bdellovibrionales; Pseudobdellovibrionaceae
Description: uncultured Bdellovibrionaceae bacterium contains 16S-23S intergenic spacer region
Rfam family: Bacterial small subunit ribosomal RNA
Source: RNAcentral